ACCUUUCUCGGGUGCUUAUCAGUGCUUCCUGAUAAAGUAAUUAAUGGAUUUCUCUUCUCCACUGAGCAUUUUCCUGCCCCCAGAGGGCUGUGCUGGGAAGGAAGGUGCUAAUUAGUUCCUGUGUGAUUAUCUGGUUGAAGCAACUGCUUCAAGUCUCUGCAAAUCAUUCUCAGCCCUCGCCCUCUCUGGAGUGAGACUCCAGCUCUCUGUUGAUCCCUUUUGCUGGCUGCCAGCUCUGCCCGCAAAGUAGAGCCCCUUCUGCAGACAGUCCCUCUCUCUCUUACUGCCAGCAUCUGCAGGUGGCACCCUGGGGCCCAGGGCCCUGCCUCCAGCUUGUGAGCCAUCACCAGGAAGCUCUCAGAGAGGUUCCUGGAAACACUUCAAAGCCAGUCCGGAUUAUCUAAGUCUGCCUCAAAGAAAAGAACAAGCAAGGGCGGCAGGGUGUUGUGGAAAGAGCUCUCAGCUGGGGCCAAAGAACUGAAUCUACGCUGAGUUGCGUGACCUUGGAUAAACUCUGCUUCCUCUCCUUAUCUCAGUUUCCCAGAAAAAAAAAAAAGGAGUAAGUCUGUAAUCAGGGAUGGCAAAUUCCCAAUGCCAACUGUGAGGAACCGGCCACAGUUCUGCUCUGACUUGAGAAAAUAAUGAAGCCACCGCCAACCUCAGCGGGUAGACGGAGUUGAAGAGACAGACCAGUGAUGCCAGUCAGGGUUGAUGUGGGUGCUGUGUUUCCAGACAGCGCACUGUUGGUAUUUGGCUCCAGAAGACGACAAGUGUUUGAACUCAGAAAAGCUACCACACCAGUGCCUGGGUCUUUCCCUCCUCCUUGAUCAACCAAGACACAAUGAAAGAAGCUCUAAGCAGGAAAUGGCAAAAGGUAAAACCCUGACAGGGCAGGAGUCAGAAGAAGCUACAGUCGGAACUGUAAGAGCAUCUUCUCUUGGAGCUGCAAAGACAAGAAGCCUGGCUUUUCUCUCCUGCUUGACUGGUGCCCUGAGCAUGGGCUGCUCAGUGUCACAGAUAAUAUCCAGACUCUGCUUUCUCCUCCCUCUGGCCACAGCAGCCUCUACCUUAAAAGUUCAAGAUGGAGCUUCAGCCUCAGCAGUCUCCAGCCUACUGCCUUCCCUUCAUCCAGUAUGCAACAAAGGCUUGUCAAGCUCCCCUGCUCCAGGGCCUCUGCUAGGUUAAAUGGAGUACUGUUCAGAUAUGGAAAGAUCUACCAUCCCUUUCAUAGCAGACUUGCACAGCCAAGGAGGACUUUGAGCUGGGAUCUUGGUGUGAAAUGAAUUAUUCUGCUCCAGAAGACAGCAUCUUAAAUGCACCUGAGCCUGAAUCCUGGAUUUUGCUUCCUUUGUGUUCCUGCCAUUUGCUGUGAUAAAUACCUUUUCUCUCAACAGAAGGAAUAUACGGAUGUGGGCACAGCCAUCUCCCAAAUAACUAGGCUCCUCCAUCUGACUCAGUAGCCAUCCUUCUUCCCAGGACAUCUGCCUCGCAGAACCACCCUCCUGGGGAAUGAGCCAGUGUUUACCCGUGUGUGAUUCUUAAGCAUUUCCUGAGCAUCUGCUGAGCCCUCCACUCUGCAGGAGGUCUCUCUGCAACAUGCAAGUAAUUUCCUUCAAUAAACAUUCAUCAUAUGCUUUCCGUGUUGCAGAGAAUAAGGCUGUACCCAGAGGCAAGGCCUUGCCCUCUUCAAGCUUACCUUCCAGGGGCAUGUGAAACUAGGGAAAGAGAUGGAAAUAUGUAAUUAUGACAAGAAUAAGUUUCUUGUCCUUAAGGAGUUAUUGUUGAAUAGGGAAAAUAAAACAUGGUGAUUGAUCAACCGUAUUUUAUCUAAAAGCCACAGAUAAUGUCCAGUUAGUCAACCAUUAGUUGCCGGUAAGAACAAUGGCCUCUGGUUCCAUUAUGUUGACAAGGAUGCAUGGUGGAGAGUCCUGGUCUGGACUGAGCCCACCCAGAUGGGCUUCCAUGCUCAGCCAUCUGCUGACUGUGAGAUCUUGAGUAAAUGACUUAACCUUCUUGAGUCGUAGACUCAUCUGUUAAAGGGUCUGCCUUACUUCCUUGGUGGUUUGUUGUGACACAGGUAAAUUAUAUAUGUAAGC
This is a long non-coding RNA of Bos taurus (domestic cattle), 2096 nucleotides long. The record is from Ensembl. Lineage: Eukaryota; Metazoa; Chordata; Mammalia; Artiodactyla; Bovidae.